GAUGCUUGCUGUCCCUCAACAGCCUCCCUUGCCUGUAUUUUUUCUUUCCCCCUCUCCUCUCCUUUCCCUUCUACUUCAUCGAAGCCUAGGGGAGCCAGUAAAGAUUAAAUGUGCUUUCUAAAAGGCAGCCACUUCAUGCAGCUAUGUCUACACCCCCCCUCCCCAGCUCCCCCUUUUUGAAAUAAAAAAAAAUAGAAAGAAAAGAGGGGGGAGACAGCGAGGGGGAGAAGGAAGGAGGAGGAAGAGGAGGACUAUAGUUUAAUGAUGUCGGGACUGGCUGAUCCACAAGGAGGAAAGAGAAAGGGGAAAAAAAAUAAAAGGAAAAAAAAAAAAAGGAAAAGAUUUGAGAUCCCGGACGAGGAAGGACUUUGGUGAAUGGGCUCAGACUCCUGAGGGGAGAGAAGAGCGGAGAAGGAGGUGGCAAGCUGGGGACGAAAUCCUGCUCUCGGUUAUGGCCGGCGUAAAUUUCCAUUGGCUGGGGUUGCACAAGGUGCUUUGGAGAGGAGUCGGUGCAGGAUGGAGUCCCUUUUGUGUGUGUGUGUGUGUGUGUACGUGUGUCUGUGUGUGUGCACGGUGCUCGGGGACCCUCCUCUCCCGGGGAAGCGGGUUUUUCCUCCAGGUUUUCCUCGGCAGCCCCGGCCCAGGAGCGGCUGCCAGGAGCUGGUGACCGCGCUGCGCCGCCCGCCCGCCGCGCUCCGCCACCGGCUCCGGGCUGCCCCCCGCUGCUACCGGGGCAGGAGCGGGCCGCGGCUCCAGCCCCCCCCCCAACCCCGUCUCUUCAUCAUCAUCAUCAUAAUAAUAAUAACAGCAGCAGCAGCAUUGGUGGGAGCGCGGAGGGAGGAGGCGAAGGGGCUGCGGAGGAAUUUGGGUCCUUUUCCUUUUUUCCCCCUCUUUUUUUUUUUUUUUUCCUUGAUAUAUUCCCUUAAAAAAAAAAAAAGGGAAAAAAAAAAAAAGAAGGAAGAUGUUUUAAAAAUGCAAGCGGCUUGCCCAGC
This 992-nucleotide long non-coding RNA is filed under the name Strigops habroptila (Kakapo). RNAcentral's name for it is "lncRNA (ENSSHBG00005016577.1)". Lineage: Eukaryota; Metazoa; Chordata; Aves; Psittaciformes; Psittacidae. The record is from RNAcentral.